CGGGGUGUGGCGCAGCCUGGUAGCGCGCUUCGUUCGGGUCGAAGAGGCCGCCGGUUCGAGUCCGGCCACCCCGA
RNAcentral lists this transfer RNA (74 nucleotides) under Promineifilum breve (SeqCode). RNAcentral describes it as "Candidatus Promineifilum breve tRNA". It matches the Rfam family "tRNA". Rfam says of the family: Transfer RNA (tRNA) molecules are approximately 80 nucleotides in length. Their secondary structure includes four short double-helical elements and three loops (D, anti-codon, and T loops). Lineage: Bacteria; Bacillati; Chloroflexota; Ardenticatenia; Promineifilales (SeqCode); Promineifilaceae (SeqCode). RNAcentral also lists the same sequence under 1 other name. The record is from Rfam by way of RNAcentral.